RNAcentral lists this ribosomal RNA (440 nucleotides) under uncultured bacterium. RNAcentral's name for it is "partial 16S ribosomal RNA". It matches the Rfam family "Bacterial small subunit ribosomal RNA", at positions 338 to 795 of the family's 1533-position model. The record is from RNAcentral.
CCUACGGGAGGCAGCAGUGGGGAAUAUUGCACAAUGGGGGAAACCCUGAUGCAGCGACGCCGCGUGAGUGAAGAAGUAUUUCGGUAUGUAAAGCUCUAUCAGCAGGGAAGAAAAUGACGGUACCUGACUAAGAAGCCCCGGCUAACUACGUGCCAGCAGCCGCGGUAAUACGUAGGGGGCAAGCGUUAUCCGGAUUUACUGGGUGUAAAGGGAGCGUAGACGGUGAUGCAAGUCAGAAGUGAAAGCCCGGGGCUCAACUCCGGGACUGCUUUUGAAACUGUGGGACUAGAGUGCAGGAGAGGUAAGCGGAAUUCCUGGUGUAGCGGUGAAAUGCGUAGAUAUCAGGAGGAACACCAGUGGCGAAGGCGGCUUACUGGACUGUAACUGACGUUGAGGCUCGAAAGCGUGGGGAGCAAACAGGAUUAGAUACCCUAGUAGUC